This 764-nucleotide unclassified non-coding RNA is filed under the name Hevea brasiliensis (rubber tree). Lineage: Eukaryota; Viridiplantae; Streptophyta; Magnoliopsida; Malpighiales; Euphorbiaceae. The record is from RNAcentral.
GAGAGAGAGAGAGAGAGAGAGGCUCAUGGAUGAAAAAGUAGUUGACAUUUGGAUUCUAAUGCUUACGCUUCAAAUCCUUAGGAGUAUCAAUUCAUGUGUGUGUGUGUUUGUGACUUUGUGUAUAUUAAUGACUUGUGUGAUUGCUCCUAAAUAAAUCUUGACCAUGAAUGGCAAUCAUUAUGUUUUAUAUGGGGAAAUGUAGUUUUGUACCGAGUACCUUUACUGCAUACAAUGUAAAAGGUGUCUGAAAGUGAUAGUGAUCAAACUUAUAUUAUUGUGUGGGGAAAAGUAUUUUUGUACUGGGAACAUGUACCAUGUACCACAUCAAUGGUCUUUCGAAUUACCUUGGCUUGGUCCCACCAAAGGUAAAUGUCUCAUUCUUCUAGUCCAGUGCUGGACCUUAAGGCCUCUUCUCUACCGUUCAGACUCUCAAUGAAUGCUCUGCUUACUCGGUUUCCAUAUUAAGAGAAGUCUUCUAGACAACAUAAUCAUUUUUUAGUGGUCUUGAGAAUCUUAUGGACUAUUGGACUUGUUAAUUGGUAUUGGUUUUUUUCUUUUAUUUAUUUUUUUUAUAUGCAUGUUGAAAUUUGUGCAAACUGCAAUGACGUUGGAGUCUGGUGUUGUUUGAUUGCUACUGGAUUCAAAAUGGGAUACAAUCACAUUAAUUAACCACUGAUGAUUCAUCAUGUUGGUCUUAAUGAUAAUAAUAUCUGACAUCGUUUAUUUGUUGAUUUGCUUGAAGGACGAAGCUCCUCAUCUUGUGA